AUGCAAGUCGAGGGGCAGCAUGUCCAGCAAUGGAUGAUGGCGACCGGCGGAAGGGUGCGUAACGCGUGAGCAACAUGCCCUAUACAGGGAGAUACACCAGGGAAACUUGGUCUAAUAUCCCAUAGCAUUCAUUGAAGGCAUCUUUAAUGAAUUAAAGCUUCGGUGGUAUAGGAUUGGCUCGCGUGACAUUAGCCAGAUGGUGAGGUAACGGCUCACCAUAGCAAUGAUGUCUAGGGGUUUUGAGAGGAAGGCCCCCCACACUGGGACUGAGACACGGCCCAGACUCCUACGGGAGGCAGCAGUGAGGAAUAUUGGACAAUGGAUGGAAAUCUGAUCCAGCCACGCCGCGUGCAGGAAGACGGCCUUAUGGGUUGUAAACUGCUUUUAUACGGGAGCAAUAAGGGUUACGAGUAAUCCGAUGAGAGUACUGUAUGAAUAAGGAUCGGCUAACUCCGUGCCAGCAGCCGCGGUAAUACGGAGGAUCCGAGCGUUAUCCGGAAUUAUUGGGUUUAAAGGGUGCGUAGGCGGCCAUUUAAGUCAGCGGUGAAAUUUUGCAGCUUAACUGUAACAGUGCCGUUGAUACUGUUUGGCUAGGAUUUGGUUGUAGUGUGCGGAAUGUGUGGUGUAGCGGUGAAAUGCUUAGAUAUCACACAGAACACCGAUUGCGAAGGCAGCACACUAAGUCAUUAUUGACGCUGAGGCACGAAAGUGUGGGGAUCAAACAGGAUUAGAUACCCUGGUAGUCCACACUGUAAACGAUGAUAACUCGCUGUCGGCGAUACACAGUCGGGGCCAAGCGAAAG
This 803-nucleotide ribosomal RNA is filed under the name uncultured bacterium. RNAcentral describes it as "bacterial SSU rRNA". It matches the Rfam family "Bacterial small subunit ribosomal RNA", at positions 55 to 857 of the family's 1533-position model. The record is from RNAcentral.